This 116-nucleotide ribosomal RNA is filed under the name Bacillus subtilis. Lineage: Bacteria; Bacillati; Bacillota; Bacilli; Caryophanales; Bacillaceae. The record is from RNAcentral.
UUUGGUGGCGAUAGCGAAGAGGUCACACCCGUUCCCAUACCGAACACGGAAGUUAAGCUCUUCAGCGCCGAUGGUAGUCGGGGGUUUCCCGCUGUGAGAGUAGGACGCCGCCAAGC